This 21-nucleotide non-coding RNA is filed under the name Arabidopsis thaliana (thale cress). The record is from RNAcentral. Lineage: Eukaryota; Viridiplantae; Streptophyta; Magnoliopsida; Brassicales; Brassicaceae.
GGAAAGGUGCAACUCUUCGGA